RNAcentral lists this ribosomal RNA (434 nucleotides) under uncultured Clostridium sp. Its description in RNAcentral is "partial 16S ribosomal RNA". It matches the Rfam family "Bacterial small subunit ribosomal RNA", at positions 341 to 792 of the family's 1533-position model. The record is from RNAcentral. RNAcentral also lists the same sequence under 1 other name. Lineage: Bacteria; Bacillati; Bacillota; Clostridia; Eubacteriales; Clostridiaceae.
ACGGAAGGCAGCAGUGGGGAAUAUUGCACAAUGGGCGAAAGCCUGAUGCAGCGACGCCGCGUGAGCGAAGAAGUAUCUCGGUAUGUAAAGCUCUAUCAGCAGGGAAGAAAAUGACGGUACCUGACUAAGAAGCCCCGGCUAACUACGUGCCAGCAGCCGCGGUAAUACGUAGGGGGCAAGCGUUAUCCGGAUUUACUGGGUGUAAAGGGAGCGUAGACGGUUUGGCAAGUCUGAAGUGAAAUGCGGGGGCUCAACUCCUGAACUGCUUUGGAAACUGUCGAACUAGAGUGCAGGAGAGGUAAGUGGAAUUCCUAGUGUAGCGGUGAAAUGCGUAGAUAUUAGGAGGAACACCAGUGGCGAAGGCGGCUUACUGGACUGUAACUGACGUUGAGGCUCGAAAGCGUGGGGAGCAAACAGGAUUAGAUACCCUGGUA